UACGAAGGGGGCUAGCGUUGUUCGGAAUCACUGGGCGUAAAGGGCGCGUAGGCGGCCGAUCAAGUCGGAGGUGAAAUCCCUCGGCUCAACUGAGGAAUUGCCUUCGAUACUGUUCGGCUUGAGUCCUGGAGAGGGUAGCGGAAUUCCCGGUGUAGCGGUGAAAUGCGUAGAGACCGGGAAGAACACCAGUGGCGAAGGCGGCUACCUGGACAGGUACUGACGCUGAAGCGCGAAAGCUAGGGGAGCAAACAGG
RNAcentral lists this ribosomal RNA (253 nucleotides) under uncultured bacterium. RNAcentral's name for it is "partial 16S ribosomal RNA". It matches the Rfam family "Bacterial small subunit ribosomal RNA", at positions 524 to 776 of the family's 1533-position model. The record is from RNAcentral.